RNAcentral lists this ribosomal RNA (492 nucleotides) under uncultured bacterium. RNAcentral's name for it is "partial 16S ribosomal RNA". It matches the Rfam family "Bacterial small subunit ribosomal RNA", at positions 29 to 507 of the family's 1533-position model. The record is from RNAcentral.
AGUGAACGCUGGCGGUAGGCCUAACACAUGCAAGUCGAACGGCAGCACAGUAAGAGCUUGCUCUUACGGGUGGCGAGUGGCGGACGGGUGAGGAAUACAUCGGAAUCUACUUUUUCGUGGGGGAUAACGUAGGGAAACUUACGCUAAUACUGCAUACAACCUACGGGUGAAAGCAGGGGAUCUUCGGACCUUGCGCGAUUGAAUGAGCCGAUGUCGGAUUAGCUAGUUGGCGGGGUAAAGGCCCACCAAGGCGACGAUCCGUAGCUGGUCUGAGAGGAUGAUCAGCCACACUGGAACUGAGACACGGUCCAGACUCCUACGGGAGGCAGCAGUGGGGAAUAUUGGACAAUGGGCGCAAGCCUGAUCCAGCCAUACCGCGUGGGUGAAGAAGGCCUUCGGGUUGUAAAGCCCUUUUGUUGGGAAAGAAAAGCAGCAGGUUAAUACCCCGCUGUUCUGACGGUACCCAAAGAAUAAGCACCGGCUAACUUCGUG